This 82-nucleotide transfer RNA is filed under the name Candidatus Bathyarchaeota archaeon. RNAcentral describes it as "tRNA-Lys". It matches the Rfam family "tRNA". Rfam says of the family: Transfer RNA (tRNA) molecules are approximately 80 nucleotides in length. Their secondary structure includes four short double-helical elements and three loops (D, anti-codon, and T loops). The record is from RNAcentral. Lineage: Archaea; Thermoproteati; Candidatus Bathyarchaeota.
GGGCCCGUAGCUCAACCUGGUUAGAGCGCUGGGCUUUUAAACCAGCGGGUAAAUGUUGCGGGUUCAAAUCCCGUCGGGCCCG